AGGUUACUGCUAUCGGUGUUCGCCUAAGCCAUGCGAGUCAUAUGUUCUUCGUGAACAUGGCGUACUGCUCAGUAACACGUGGAUAACCUGCCCUUGGGUCCGGCAUAACCCCGGGAAACUGGGGAUAAUUCCGGAUAACGCACAUAUGCUGGAAUGCUUUAUGCGUCAAAUGGAUUCGUCCGCCCAAGGAUGGGUCUGCGGCCUAUCAGGUAGUAGUGGGUGUAAUGUACCUACUAGCCUACGACGCGUACGGGUUGUGAGAGCAAGAGCCCGGAGAUGGAUUCUGAGACAUGAAUCCAGGCCCUACGGGGCGCAGCAGGCGCGAAAACUUUACAAUGCGGGAAACCGUGAUAAGGGGACACCGAGUGCCAGCAUCAUAUGCUGGCUGUCCGGGUGUGUAAAAUACACCUGUUAGUAAGGGCCGGGCAAGACCGGUGCCAGCCGCCGCGGUAACACCGGCGGCCCGAGUGGUGAUCGUGAUUAUUGGGUCUAAAGGGUCCGUAGCCGGUUUGGUCAGUCCUCCGGGAAAUCUGACGGCUUAACCGUUAGGCUUUCGGGGGAUACUGUCAGACUUGGAACCGGGAGAGGUAAGAGGUACUACAGGGGUAGGAGUGAAAUCUUGUAAUCCCUGUGGGACCACCUGUGGCGAAGGCGUCUUACCAGAACGGGUUCGACGGUGAGGGACGAAAGCGGGGGGCACGAACCGGAUUAGAUACCCGGGUAGUCCCAGCCGUAAACGAUGCUCGCUAGGUGUCAGGCAUGGCGCGACCGUGUCUGGUGCCGCAGGGAAGCCGUGAAGCGAGCCACCUGGGAAGUACGGCCGCAAGGCUGAAACUUAA
Molecule: ribosomal RNA, 839 nt
Filed under: uncultured archaeon
Lineage: Archaea
Description: bacterial SSU rRNA
Rfam family: Archaeal small subunit ribosomal RNA
Source: RNAcentral